GGAUUCAGAGUCAUCCAUCAAUAAUUGUGCGUAAGGGUGUUUCCGUGCUAUUACGAAAACAGUUUCGCUGCGUGCAUCGCGCGUAUCCAAACGUGCAAACGAGGUAAGGCGCUGCCAACCCAAGAAAACGAAACGCAACCAAUGAGCGCGCGAAGAGCGACCGAACAAUGAACAUUUGCCGUGAGUUUCCGGCCAAAUAUCGAACAUCGAGUGAAUGAAUUGACUGUCGGCGUUCAUCAUUUUUUUCGCGUCGCCAUUUUUUUUUUACACGUUUCUGUUUAUUUUGUUAAUUUUGUUAGUUGUAUAUUAUUUAUAACAGUGUACUUAACGUUAAGGUGUUGCUUACAUUUGUUGCAUCUGGGUUUUGGCUUGCAUCUUAGGAUAUAGCACCAUGGCUCUUAGUGACGAGCUGGCUCAAUUAAAGCUCCGUAGGGGCUAUGUAAAGGGUGCAAUAACUCGUGAAGAAAGUUUUUGUAACAGCGAAGAAAUUGUGAUCGCGUCUAGUGAGUUGCUCACAGAGCGGCGCAGUCGCUUGGCGAAAAACUUUGCCUCUUACGAGGACCUUAACAAGAGUAUUUUGUGCAUAAAUCCAAAGGACGAUGAAGACCCUUUUGUGUAUGAAAGAAUUCAUAGAGUUUUUGGAGUCCAGAGCGUUGGCCAGGGAGAAUGCAAUGGAAACAAUGCCUGUGAGUACUCCCAGUGGUGUGAAGCCUGGCAAGCCUGCAUGUAAUACAGCAGCAGCAGUCUCAUGUGCUUCAGAGGGAAUCACUGCCUCUAACGCCGCAAGGUCCCUACCUGGUUAGUACCAGCCUAGGUUAUAUUGUAGCAGGCAGUCUACCGGUAUCUGUUGGGAACAUCCAUUCUUCAAAUUUGUGUAUAACAGUUCAAGGUACCCCCCAUAAUAUUUCUCAUAAUUCUCAUAAUGAUCAACUUGAUACUAUUGAACAUACUAUUUCAAAUUUUUGGAAAUGUGAAAAAGUACCUGAAAUUUAUAAGGAAGGUAUUACUGAACAUCAACUAGCUGAGGAAUGUUUUCAAAACUCUGUCAAACUUGUUGAUGGAAAGUUUUGUGUAGAUUUACCUUUAAAACUUAAUUUAAAUGAUAUCCAGAUGGGUAACUCUUUUAAUCAGGCAUUGCAUCGUUUUCAUAAUUUAGAAAGGCGUUUCGCUAAAGAUGAUAAGUUAUUUCAACAAUAUAAGAAGUUCAUUCAUGUUUAUCUUGAGCAAGGCCAUGCCAUGUACUUUGAUAUAUCUAACUAUGAUCCUAGGGCAGGUAAUGUGUAUUUCUUACCUCACCACCCAGUCAUUAAUUUAAAUAGUAAAACUACUCCGGUUCGAGCUGUCUUUGACGCGAGCAUGAAAACCAAUAAUGGUAUUUGUCUAAAUGACAUGAUGCUUAAUGGGCCUGUUGUGCAAAAUGAUUUAUUUGACAUUUUGACACUAUUUAGGAGUUUUAAAUAUGUUUUGCUUAAUGAUAUAAAGGCUAUGUAUAGGGGUAUAAUAAUGGGUAAAGACCAUUUCUGCUUGCAAAAUAUUCUUUGGCGAGAUUCUGCUGAUCAAAGUGUGCAAUGUCUUCAGUUACAAACUGUAACAUAUGGUUUAAAGUUUGAUAAAACAAAUACUUUUGUGAAAACUUUAGGCUUGUCAUAUGAUGUGACUUCUGAUACUUUAAAUAUGAAGUGUCCAAGCGCUGAAAUACAAAAACCUUCUACUAAGAGGCAAGUGUUAAGUUUUAUUAGCAAAUUUUUUGAUCCUUUGGGUUUGGUAGGUCCUAUUUUGGUGCAAGCUAAAUACUUAAUGCAACAAGUCUGGUUUGAAAAGUUAAAGUGGGAUGAUAUUCUCCCUGAAGCUUUAAAUAAAAAAAUUCUACAAUUUGUUGAAGGUUUGAUGAAUAUGUCUUGUAUAUCUGUUCCUAGAAAUAUCAAUGUAUAUCCACAUAAAAGGCUAGAGUUAGUUGGUUAUGCUGAUGCAUCUAAUAUUGCACAAGUGUGUAUUAUGUUUCGGAUUUAAGGCUAAAGCUUCCAGUCAACUUAUGGGUUCAUUACCGCUUGACAGAGUCAAUAUUACACGUCCUUUUCAAAUUGUAGGCACUGAUUAUGCAGGUCCUUUCAAUGUUAAACAAACUAGAGUAAGAAAUCCUGUUAUAACCAAGGCUUAUGUUGUUAUUUUCAUAUGUUUUAUUACUAAAGCAAUUCACAUAGAAUUGGCGUCAGACAUGACAACUAAUACUUUCUUAGCUUGUUUAAAAAGGUUUAUAAGCCGUAGAAAUAAGCCUACAAAAAUAUAUUGUGAUAAUGCUAGUUAUUAUAGAGGUGCUGAUAAUGCACUCAAAGAUUUGCAUAAGCUACUGAAUUCCACAGAUCAUCAAAACAAAGUGUUUGAUUAUGGUUGUUCAGAGGGAAUACAGUUUCAAUUUAUUCCUUCAUAUUCCCCUGUAUUUGGUGGCCUGUGGGAGGCAGGAGUAAAAAGUAUAAAAUAUCAUAUGAAACGUGUAAUUACUCAGAGUGUACUUACUUAUGAAGAGCUGUAUACAGUGUUAGUGCUCAUAGAAAGUAUUUUAAAUUCUAGACCAUUAACUCCCAUGUCAAGAGAUUGUGAUGACAUGUCUUACCUGACACCUGCACAUUUCCUUACUGGCUCACCAUUGACUUCAUAUCCAGAGCUUAAUUUGACUGAUGUAAAUGUAGGAAGGCUUAGUUUUUGGAAACAAUGUUCUCAAAUGCAACAGCAUUUUUGGAAUCAAUGGCAUAAACAAUAUUUAGUUAUGUUGCAGAGUCGACCUAAAUGGAAAACUCAACUGCCUAAUUUAGAAAUAGGCAAUAUGGUAUUGUUUAAGUCUGAUAAUGUAUCUCCAUUGAACUGGCCUGUAGGUAGAAUUGUAAAGGUCAUUCCAGGAAAAGAUGAUUUAGUUCGUGCAGUGGAGGUAAAAACUAGUAAAGGUCACAUUGUAAGAACAAGUGUUAUGAAAGUGUGUCCAUUACCUAUUGAUUAUAAUUAAUGUAUCUACCCUUUAUUUUUAAAGCGAGAAUUACUCUUGGGUUUAGUUUAUCUUUAAUUUCUUUACUAAUCCAUUUGGGUAGUUAUUUUGAAUGUUUUAAUUUAAUUGUCAUACUGGUAAUGAUGAGGUUAGCUUGUGGCUGAGGCCCCAGCAUGUUCAUGACAUAUAAAACCUCAUUGGAGGAUGUAUUUUAUUUUUUCUUAAUUGUCAAGAACAAAAGAAUGACGGUUACUCUGUACAAAUUUUUUCUCCUGUGAGCACGUUUAUAUAAUUUCUUCUACAAUAAAAGUUAUUUAUACCUAUUUACCACUUGGAAAGCCUUUUUCUUUUAUGUUCCCAUUGGCCACACCAGCGAGAUAUUGAAGAACUAAUUAUUUAAUUUUGUGGGGAACAAAAAGUACUAGGACAGCAGAAAUGAAGAGGAGCUAGGUGGUGUUUAAAAUCCGACAUUAAUGUUCAUCUACAACACUACUAAUUAAAAGACAUUGUUCAUAAUAAUAUACAUUGAAUAGGAAUGUAAGUAUACAAUAACGCAAAAAUUACUUUGAAGAGACUG
Long non-coding RNA from Helicoverpa armigera (cotton bollworm), 3554 nucleotides. RefSeq lists it as uncharacterized. The record is from RefSeq and is a predicted model, not a curated record. Lineage: Eukaryota; Metazoa; Arthropoda; Insecta; Lepidoptera; Noctuidae. The transcript is spliced from 3 exons.